Bombus impatiens (common eastern bumble bee) is the source of this 984-nucleotide long non-coding RNA. RefSeq lists it as uncharacterized. The transcript is spliced from 3 exons. NCBI's taxonomy places the organism in Eukaryota, Metazoa, Arthropoda, Insecta, Hymenoptera, Apidae. The record is from RefSeq and is a predicted model, not a curated record.
GCGCGAACGAAAUCCUGUACGAGCCCGAUAUAACACACGCUAUGCGUCGCACAUACAACUUUCGCGCGCUGCAGACUCCGGCAGACUGAGUGUCGAGAAAGUCUUGAGGCUAGCGUACGCGAUUGCUGCGCUCCUGGCGGCCGAUACCCGACCUACAGCGUCACGCGUCUUUGGCCGGUCUCUCUGUAUUUCGAUUCCUUAGAAACUCGAGUGUACGUUUCUCGUACGGGUUCUGCACAUCCUAAAUCAAAUCCUUCGCGAUUCACCGAUGCAGAAAUACCAUCCGAAAGUAACAAUCACGAUUUUUGUAAAUAUAACGAGACAGCGAUCCUGGUACGACGUUGUACAUUUUAUGCGUCGUGAUCACGUUCAAUGACUAAAAUUUGUAUCUCAUAAAAAGUGCCCGACGUUUCGUAGAUUUUUUAGAUUAGUUAUUUAACUAUGAAUUGAAAUCUAUAAGAUCAAAGUCAAAUCUUUUAUUGAAGUACCUCAAACUGCCACCAGAGCAGAGGUAUAAUUUAAGUUCAUCGUAAGUCACAAGUAUGUAUAUGUAUAAUAUAUCUAACUGUCAGUCUAGCAUGUAACCACUAAACUUCGAGGUUAGUUUGUUUAUCGCUCUUACCUCACUUCUACGAAGAAGUUCCCAAGCCCCCUCGGUAAACACGGUCGACAUUCACACGACGGUACGCGGGUCGCGGUAAACAAUCUCUUUUGGACUGUGAAUACAUACGAAGACGCAUGUAUAGUGUAUACGCAUUUGGCGAGCACGUGGCACGAGUUAUCUCGAAACAGAGUCGAAUCUACGCGCGACAUGAUGGACGUAUGGUCGACUAUAUUUUUCUAUUGUACAGGAUACCUCAGUAUCAGUUUACUUGGAGCUGUUACAAACUAUUAAGAGAAUGUAAUUAAGCUGAGAAUGUAGAUAAUGCCGCGUAUAUUAAACUUGGGAUAGUUGAAAUAUCCUACCAUCAGCGUUUAACCACG